AACGAACGCUGGCGGCAUGCCUAACACAUGCAAGUCGAACGAGACCUUCGGGUCUAGUGGCGCACGGCUGCGUAACGCGUGGGAACCUGCUCUUAGGUUCGGAAUAACUCCCCGAAAGGGGUGCUAAUACCGGAUAAUGUCUUCGGACCAAAGAUUUAUCGCCUUUGGAUGGGCCCGCGUUGGAUUAGCUAGUUGGUAGGGUAAAAGCCUACCAAGGCGACGAUCCAUAGCUGGUCUGAGAGGAUGAUCAGCCACACUGGGACUGAGACACGGCCCAGACUCCUACGGGAGGCAGCAGUGGGGAAUAUUGGACAAUGGGCGAAAGCCUGAUCCAGCAAUGCCGCGUGAGUGAUGAAGGCCUUAGGGUUGUAAAGCUCUUUUACCCGGGAUGAUAAUGACAGUACCGGGAGAAUAAGCUCCGGCUAACUCCGUG
Molecule: ribosomal RNA, 433 nt
Filed under: uncultured bacterium
Lineage: Bacteria
Description: partial 16S ribosomal RNA
Rfam family: Bacterial small subunit ribosomal RNA
Source: RNAcentral